Molecule: long non-coding RNA, 2660 nt
Organism: Pelobates fuscus (common spadefoot toad)
Lineage: Eukaryota; Metazoa; Chordata; Amphibia; Anura; Pelobatidae
Exons: 2
Source: RefSeq, a predicted model, not a curated record
GGUAGGUGUGCCUUGAGGACUGGGUUGGGAAACACUGGAAUAGACCAUUUGUCGUUUCAUCAUUGCAUUUAGUAUAAUCAUCAUGGGCCAGGUAGGUAUGCAGACAGACAAAUGGUAAUGAUUAACUUUAAGUACAUUCCAGAGAAGAAAGAAGAGCUUACAUGAUUUUAGAUGCUGAAAAUGUGCGAUAUUUAAUUAAAUACAGUUUGUUUUCAUUAUUUGAGGGAUGGUUUCAAAAAACCACUAUAGUAAUCAAAUAUAUGUGUUAUUCAUCAUGUCUAAUUUCAGUUCUGGAAUGUAUUUAUAACUCUUGUUGGCUUUCUUAUUUUAUGUGUAUUUCCUAUAUUGAUCUGUCUAUCGUUUCCCUAUGGUAACAUUAAAAUCCAUGUACCGUUACAAAAUGUAAUGUACCACAACAGGUGGGAUUUACCUUUAUUUUAGCUUUUACGGUAGGUUUUCAGUAACCCUGUGCUUCUUUGCUGGAGGCCAAGUAGAUAAAGACAUUUUUUUAUUUAUUAAUUUAUUUUAGAAAUAUACUGUUAUCCUAUACACAAAAACAACAGAUAAUGUUAGAACAUGUCACGUUUUCAAGACAAUAAGUCUGCCUUUAAAUGGACAUAACAUGACUACUUUCUAACAUAACAUGACUACUAUUUUUUUGGCAAAUGAGGCCACAUCGAAAAGUAUACUCUCAAGAUCCAGACAUUUAUGAUGUGUAUCUCAGCUUCAUUAAACAUCAAAAUAAAACAGAUACAAAAUAAUUGUUUCUGUAAACAAAUGUUGCAAAUUAAUAGCUCUACAUUCAAAAUGUCUAUAAGCUGAGACACGUACCACAUAUAUUUAUUUAGCAAUAUUUAAAGGAACAAUAUAGUGUCGAGAAUACAAACAUAUUCCUGACACUAUGGUGCUGGAAUGCAGCAUUAGGUUGUUGCCCACCCUCUCUCCGGAGAUUAAAGCUGAUUCCACUCACCUUUUUACCUACACCACGCUGAGCUCACCGCGGCUGGCCUUGCGUGUGCCGCCUCCAUGGCUGUGAUCAUCAGUUUUGAUGAUAUCAGCCAAUCCAAUGCUUUCCCAUAGGAAAGGGAGGCUAUUGUGCAUGUGUAGCACUAACACAGGAAGAACCUCUAGUGGCCGUCUGAGUGACUGCCACUAGAGGUGUAACUAGCCAGCAAUGUAAACACUGCCUUUUCACUGAGGCAAUGUUUACAGUGCUAUGGCUGCAGGGACAUAAUAUAGACACCGGAAACACUGCAUUGUAGUUCUGAUAAUUAUAGUGUCCCUUUAAUAUACUUUCAUAUAAAAUGUGACACAGUUUGCCAUAACCUUUUCCUUUCUCUUCAAUAUGACCAUGUGAUAUACUCAUUGAAAAACAAGAUGCAAGUCAUUAUGGGAAAACCUAUGUAUAUUCCCUCUGGAAGCGUCUCAUAAGAUCCUGCACGUUACGGUUUUUCAUGAUUAGACUUUAAAAGUAAUGCAAUAAAUUAUCAGGAUAACAAGCUAAAGGUAAUAAAAAACGAAAAUCAGCAUCUAUGACAAAUAUCUUAAUAUAAAUAAGAAAAUUUUAUUUGUUGCUUUACAAAAUUAUUUAUAUUUCCCUAUUAUGUUUAAAGCUUACAUUUAAUUAUAUUAUCUUAGUAUUUUAAGUUUAGUUAUUAUUGGCUCAAUUUCAAAAUGAAAAGUUUAUGUUAUUUUUUUUAAACUUCCUGCAUUCUAUGUUUGUUCAAUUAUUUAAUUCCAGAUAAACGUAAAGGAAAAUAAAAAUCAAUAAUAUAAAUCCGGGUGCAUAUAUAGUAAAUGUAGCUGAAGUCCACACAAUAAAUAUAGUGAUCGUGUGCUAUAAAUCUAAGCAGUUCAUGGACGCAGUUAAUGGUGCUCUGUUUACAAAAUUUCUAUCUAUCCAACCUGUAGCUUUUGGGACCAAACAGGAGCUUUUCUGCACGCACUUUUUUCUAGGAACACUGAGCUGGUUAUUAUCUAUUACAAACACUGCUUGCCUCUUAACUGCACCCUGUACACAUAUAGAAGCAUGGUCUAAAUUUGCUGCGUGGUUCACCAUCACGAACAUGUCACGUUGUAAGCCACUACUACUCUUAGUAAUAUGUAGAACUGCUGCAAACUGAAGUAAAACAAGGGUUAUUUAUAAACAGCAAUUCUGAGUCCAUCAGGAGAAACAUUCUAUUGGUUUCCAUGGUAAUUGCUUUACUUACGCAAGUUACACUACAAUUGCUGUUUAUACAUAUCUCUUUCUCCAUUUUGUACACAGCUGUAAUUGAGCAUCUCCAAAUUCAAUGGAUUAGUAUUAAUCUCUGAUCCAAUGUCGCUUUAUGAAAUAGCAAUGGAUAAUAUUUAAUUUAUCACUCAGACAUUCUCAAUCCUUCCUGUAUUAAAGGAAUUAAAUUCUCUUUGCUUGAAUGAGCCCCACUGGCAUAUUAUCUUGUCUUGUAUUCCACUUGGGAAGUGUGAUGUCUGACAAUCGUGAAAAUGAUGGUCUUUAGUCUUUCCAUAUGUAUAUAAUUUCCCAUAGAUGACAUUUCCCUGUAUUGUGAUGUCUGAAAACAAUGUAAAUAUUAAUUUGUGCAACUGCACUGGAAUCUUUCUGCCUCUGUUUACUUCUGUACCUGCAAAAUAAACUGGCUUCGCGGUGGGAUGUGAAAUGU